GCCUGCCCGGUGACCAUGUGUUCAACGGCCGCGGUAUUCUGACCGCGCGAAGGUAGCGUAAUCACUUGUCUUCUAAAUAAAGACUAGUAUGAACGGCCACACGAAGACUUGACUGUCUCCCCUGUCCAAUCAGUGAAACUGAUCUCCUUGUGCAGAAGCGAGGAUACACCCAUAAGACGAGAAGACCCUAUGGAGCUUCAAACUCAAUAUUAAUUACCUUAAAACCCCCUCUAAGGAGCCAACAAAUAAUUUUUUAAACUUAUAUUAGUUUUAGGUUGGGGCGACCAUGGAGAAAAAAAAUAUCCUCCCUGAUGACUUUCUAACCAAGAGCCACAGCUCUAAGUAUUAAGACACUUAACUCCCAUUGACCCAUUUUAUGAUCAACGAACCAAGUUACCCUAGGGAUAACAGCGCAAUCCGUUUCAAGAGUCCCUAUCGACAAAUGGGUUUACGACCUCGAUGUUGGAUCAGGGCAUCCUAGUGGUGCAGCCGCUACUAACGGUUCGUUUGUUCAACGAUUAAAGCCCU
Molecule: ribosomal RNA, 528 nt
Filed under: Megophrys glandulosa
Lineage: Eukaryota; Metazoa; Chordata; Amphibia; Anura; Megophryidae
Description: Xenophrys glandulosa partial 16S ribosomal RNA
Rfam family: Bacterial large subunit ribosomal RNA
Source: RNAcentral